UAGCAUAUCAAUAAGCGGAGGAAAAGAAACCAACAGGGAUUGCCCUAGUAACGGCGAGUGAAGCGGCAACAGCUCAAAUUUGAAAUCUGGCGUCUUCGGCGUCCGAGUUGUAAUUUGCAGAGGGCGCUUUGGCAUUGGCAGCGGUCCAAGUUCCUUGGAACAGGACGUCACAGAGGGUGAGAAUCCCGUACGUGGUCGCUAGCCUUUACCGUGUAAAGCCCCUUCGACGAGUCGAGUUGUUUGGGAAUGCAGCUCUAAAUGGGAGGUAAAUUUCUUCUAAAGCUAAAUACUGGCCAGAGACCGAUAGCGCACAAGUAGAGUGAUCGAAAGAUGAAAAGCACUUUGGAAAGAGAGUUAAAAAGCACGUGAAAUUGUUGAAAGGGAAGCGCUUGCAGCCAGACUUGCCUGUAGUUGCUCAUCCGGGUUUCUACCCGGUGCACUCUUCUAUAGGCAGGCCAGCAUCAGUUUGGGCGGUUGGAUAAAGGUCUCUGUCAUGUACCUCCUUUCGGGGAGAUCUUAUAGGGGAGACGACAUGCAACCAGCCUGGACUGAGGUCCGCGCAUCUGCUAGGAUGCUGGCGUAAUGGCUGUAAGCGGCCCGUCUUGAAACACGGACCAAGGAGUCUAACAUCUAUGCGAGUGUUUGGGUGUCAAGCCCGAACGCGUAAUGAAAGUGAACGGAGGUGGGAACCUUUCGGGGUGCACCAUCGACCGAUCCUGAUGUCUUCGGAUGGAUUUGAGUAAGAGCAUAGCUGUUGGGACCCGAAAGAUGGUGAACUAUGCUUGAAUAGGGUGAAGCCAGAGGAAACUCUGGUGGAGGCUCGCAGCGGUUCUGACGUGCAAAUCGAUCGUCAAAUUUGGGCAUAGGGGCGAAAGACUAAUCGAACUAUCUUGUAGCUGGUUCCUGCAAUU
This 911-nucleotide ribosomal RNA is filed under the name Stagonosporopsis caricae. Its description in RNAcentral is "LSU rRNA". It matches the Rfam family "Eukaryotic large subunit ribosomal RNA", at positions 36 to 968 of the family's 3401-position model. The record is from RNAcentral. Lineage: Eukaryota; Fungi; Ascomycota; Dothideomycetes; Pleosporales; Didymellaceae.